This 301-nucleotide ribosomal RNA is filed under the name uncultured bacterium. RNAcentral describes it as "partial 16S ribosomal RNA". It matches the Rfam family "Bacterial small subunit ribosomal RNA", at positions 509 to 807 of the family's 1533-position model. The record is from RNAcentral.
CAGUCGCCGCGGUAAUACAGAGGAUGCAAGCGUUAUCCGGAAUGAUUGGGCGUAAAGCGUCUGUAGGUGGCUUUUCAAGUCAGUCGUCAAAUCCCUGGGCUCAACCCUGGACAAGCAGUGGAAACUACCAAGCUGGAGUAUAGUAGGGGCAGAGUGAAUUUCCGGUGGAGCGAUGAAAUGCGUUGAGAUCAGAAAGAACACCAACGGCGAAAGCACUCUGCUGGGCCGACACUGACACUGAGAGACGAAAGCUAGGGGAGCAAAUGGGAUUAGAUACCCCGGUAGUCCCUGUCUCUUAUAC